This 283-nucleotide ribosomal RNA is filed under the name uncultured bacterium. Its description in RNAcentral is "partial 16S ribosomal RNA". It matches the Rfam family "Bacterial small subunit ribosomal RNA", at positions 334 to 631 of the family's 1533-position model. The record is from RNAcentral.
AAUGCCUACGGGAGGCAGCAGUGGGGAAUAUUGGGCAAUGGGCGCAAGCCUGACCCAGCAACGCCGCGUGAAGGAAGAAGGCUUUCGGGUUGUAAACUUCUUUUCUCGGGGACGAAGAAAGUGACGGUACCUGAGGAAUAAGCCACGGCUAACUACGUGCCAGCAGCCGCGGUAAUACGUAGGUGGCAAGCGUUAUCCGGAUUUAUUGGGUGUAAAGGGCGUGUAGGCGGGGGCGCAAGUCUGAUGUGAAAACUCAGUGCUCAACCCUGAGCCUGCAUUUGUA